This 483-nucleotide ribosomal RNA is filed under the name uncultured bacterium. RNAcentral's name for it is "partial 16S ribosomal RNA". It matches the Rfam family "Bacterial small subunit ribosomal RNA", at positions 30 to 506 of the family's 1533-position model. The record is from RNAcentral.
AUUGAACGCUGGCGGCAUGCUUUACACAUGCAAGUCGAACGGCAGCGCGGUCUUCUUCCUGGCGGCGAGUGGCGAACGGGUGUGUAAUACAUCUGAACGUGCCCACUAGUUUGUGAUAGCUCGUCUAAAUCCGUAUUAAUACCGCAUACUACCUGAGGGUGAAAUCGUGGGUUCUUCUGACCUCGCGCUUUUUUAUCUGCCGAUGGCAGUUUUGCUAGUUGGUGGGGUAAAUGCCUACCAAGGCGACGAUCUGUAGCUGGUCUGAGAGGACGACCAGGCAAACUGAGACUGAGAGACGGACAAGACACGUAGGGGAGGCAGCAGUGGGGAAUUGUGGACAAUGGGCGAAAGAGUGAACAAGAAAUGCCGCGUGUGUGAAGAAGGCCUGCGGGUUGGAAAGCACUUUUGGAGGGAAAGAAAAGGACUGAGGAAAUACAACGGUUAGAGGACGGAACAAGCAGAAUAGGAACGGGCAAACUACGU